AGAGUUUGAUCAUGGCUCAGGAUGAACGCUAGCGACGUGCCUAAGAAAUGCAAGUCGAGCGAUGAUGGUUACUUCGGUAACCUGAUUAGCGGCGAACGGUCGCGUAACACGUAAGCAAUCUGCCCUAAAGUUUGGGAUAGCCCGGCGAAAGUCGGAUUAAUACCGGAUGUGGAUAUUUUAACACCUGUUGAUUUAUCUAAAGUGGAAACACGCUUUAGGAUGAGCUUGCGGCCUAUCAGCUUGAUGGUGGGGUAAUGGCCUACCAUGGCGACGACGGGUAGCUGGUCUGAGAGGAUGAUCAGCCGGACUGGGACUGAGAUACGGCCCAGACUCCUACGGGGGGCAGCAAUUAGGAAUCUUGCGCAAUGGGCGAAAGCCUGACGCAGCGACGUCGCGUGACCGAUGAAGUCUUUCGGGAUGUAAAGGUCUUUUGUCGAGGAAGAGUAAAAGACGGUACUCGAUGAAUAAGCCCCGGCUAACUACGUGCCAGCAGCCGCGGUAAUACGUAGGGGGCGAGCGUUAUCCGAAUUUACUGGGCGUAAAGCGCACGUAGGCGGUCUAUUAAGUUGGUGGUGAAAGUCCGAUGCUCAACAUCGGAACUGCUUCCAAUACUGGUAGACUUGAGGUAUGAAUGGGGGAAGUGGAAUUCCAGGUGUAGCGGUGAAA
RNAcentral lists this ribosomal RNA (666 nucleotides) under uncultured bacterium. Its description in RNAcentral is "bacterial SSU rRNA". It matches the Rfam family "Bacterial small subunit ribosomal RNA", at positions 8 to 686 of the family's 1533-position model. The record is from RNAcentral.